AGCUCUGAGGAUGACUUUGGUUAGAUCUCUUGUGGGAGAUUUUUUUUUUUAUGUUUGAUGUUUCGGCCUUAAAUGGCCUUAUUUCGUGUUUCGGGACUGGCCGUGUGUGGCCUUGAAUCCCCGUCGCUCUGCGGCUUUUAUGACAAGAUGGUCGAGUUGAAUUUUUCAUAAGCUUUACGUAUGGAGUGGAAGAAGGGUGAUGAGUUGUCGUCUCAUAUCCUUUUUCGAUGUGAAAUGUUUUGUUCGAGAUCUGUUUUGAAAGUUUUUCCGCGAGAUAUCGACUUCGGGGGAUAUCUGAAGAUGUCGAACAUAAACAUGGAGGCAUGGUUUUGGGAUCUCGUAUCUUUUAGAUAUCAUGCCUUUGAGAUGUUAGAGACCAGUGCGCUGGGUUUAGG
RNAcentral lists this long non-coding RNA (395 nucleotides) under Brassica napus (rape). Its description in RNAcentral is "long non-coding RNA (BNAP_LNC026313)". The record is from RNAcentral. Lineage: Eukaryota; Viridiplantae; Streptophyta; Magnoliopsida; Brassicales; Brassicaceae.